AGAAGGGCAUUCGGUGGAGCGCACCUCCGCCAAGGCCCAUCAGUCCCCUUAAAUUCAAUCAAGCUGCUAAACUCACUUAUAGAUAUUAGUUCCAUAAAUGUGCCAGAUCUUUUUUCUUCAAGAUUGCUCCCUUGGAAAAUGGUGAAAGUGUUGAAAAACGUAGAAUCUCAAAAUGUCACAGGAAGAUCCAAAUAUAAUGGCUUCUUCUAUGACUCAAACCAAAUUGUUCUUGUGUUAUUUUCCUUACAAACAAACAGACAGGGGUGAAAACAUGACCUCUGACCUCGGCAGAGGUAACAAUGGCAGACACAUCGAUGGAUUGCUUUCAGAUGACUUUACUCAUCCCUGAUUGGUUGUCCAAACUUUCUGACUAUGCCAAACACAUCUCUGUUUUUGUGUUGACAUUUUGUCAAGAUUUGUGGCUGUUUCAGUUAUGUCCAUUACAGAUUGACCAAACGUCAAACCAGGAUAAGUCUGAAAAGCCUCAAUCUCAGACUGUUUCUGUUGCUUCUCUCAUCUUCUCUCCCCUUGUCUUUUUCUCUCUAUCAACCUCUGUCCUAGAGUUGCUCGCUCUCUCUGACUCCUGACACCAGACAGAUGUUCAGUGGGGAACUCCUCAGGGUGGAAGCUGGUGCUUUUCUCUCCUGACCUAAAAGCAGGUACCUCAAACCUCACCGUUCACUCUUCACUGCCAGGAGGUAGCAUGAGCCGUUACAAGUCUGAAGUAUUUGUGUUCACUGCUGCCAGUGGGACCAGUGGAGUGUACUGGUGUGGGGGCGCCAGGGGCCGCAGCAACGCAGUCAACCUUACACUAAGCUGUGAGUCUUGUGUAACAGAGAAGUUUCAGGACAAACUCAGGAAGAAACCACCGACUUCUGUGUAGCACUGAUGAUUAAAUAGGACUGUAUUUAAUACAAAGGUAACAUAAAAGAAGUAGGAGUUAAAUCUUGCCUUCUAGCUUCUUUAAAAACGGAGCAUUGAUUGACUCUAACAGUUCGUCCGGUUCAGACCGAGUCAUAAAGAUGACUCUUAAGAAUGUGACACGGGAAGAUGAAGGCUUCUACAGGUGUGCGUCAGACAGCUGCAGAGUCCAGAGAGCUGGUUAUCAGUGAGACCGGACAGAGGUUCCUGGAAAUGGAUCAUUGCUUCAUGUGGGGUUCUACUUCUGAUCGUCAUUCCUUUGACUGUUUGGCUCGUUUGUCACUACAGGUACCAGAAGUUCUGCACUUGGAGCUGCUGGCCAGUUUCCAAACAGGAAGUUCCAGCAGGGGUGCUUCCUGCCACCAAGUUGGAUGUGACGGAGGUGCAGUGGGACCUGUCGUGGAUGGAGAUGUCCAACCUGUUGGAAAAGGAUUCUUAUUGUGGCACUUAAAGGGAAACUCUCUUCUGAAGCCCAGAGAAAGUGUUAACUAUUGGGUCAAACCUAUGAGAAAGCUCAGUCAGUGCUGCAAUUUGUAGUAUUUGAUGGUCACAUGUCAAAAUAGUGCUACCUGAUAUAUUUUUGAAUUGAAUUAAAUGAGAUGUUUAGGAUUUAUAAGGAUGACUACAUUUGCUGAUGGUGCAGAUUUGAUGGCUUCCAAUACAAAUGUUAUUGUUUCAGUUGUCACAUUUGUCAAUGUCAAUACUUUUGCACAUUUAAACGUCUCUCCUUUGAGUACAUUUUGAAACUAAGAAUCGUAUUUGUUAUAUCUUAUUAUCUAAUCAUUAAUAUAAUUGACUGUUCUAAAUCAUUUUACAUGUAUCAUUUCUCCUGUGUUUGUUCGAGGUUCCAUGUUGUUUGCUCCCUUUGAAUCAUUAUUUGCUAUUUCUUGUCGUCUGAAGUUA
Long non-coding RNA from Pleuronectes platessa (European plaice), 1824 nucleotides. RefSeq lists it as uncharacterized. The record is from RefSeq and is a predicted model, not a curated record. Lineage: Eukaryota; Metazoa; Chordata; Actinopteri; Pleuronectiformes; Pleuronectidae. The transcript has 3 exons.